This 254-nucleotide ribosomal RNA is filed under the name uncultured bacterium. RNAcentral's name for it is "partial 16S ribosomal RNA". It matches the Rfam family "Bacterial small subunit ribosomal RNA", at positions 524 to 776 of the family's 1533-position model. The record is from RNAcentral.
AACGUAGGUGGCGAGCGUUAUCCGGAUUUACUGGGCGUAAAGGGCGCGUAGGUGGUGGCUUAAGCGUGCGGUGAAAGCUCGGGGCUCAACUCCGAGUCGGCCGUGCGAACUGGGCUCACUGGAGCAUAGUAGAGGCAGGUGGAAUUCCGGGUGUAGCGGUGGAAUGCGUAGAGAUCCGGAAGAACACCGGUGGCGAAGGCGGCCUGCUGGGCUAUGGCUGACACUGAGGCGCGACAGCGUGGGGAGCAAACAGG